Molecule: long non-coding RNA, 224 nt
Filed under: Gossypium barbadense (sea-island cotton)
Lineage: Eukaryota; Viridiplantae; Streptophyta; Magnoliopsida; Malvales; Malvaceae
Description: long non-coding RNA (GBAR_LNC000293)
Source: RNAcentral
GCUGCCGCUGCCUCCCUCGCUUCUGCAUCCACUCUAAGUUGUUGCUAGAGUUCUUCAUAUUUUCUUUCAACCUCGGCAAUUUGCUCAACUGUGCUCGCUUGCAUGUGAGCUAUCUGGUCCCUAAACCUCUGAACUUCAGCUCGAGCUUGACUCCUGGAAGACAUGUAUUGCUGGGAGCCGAAUCCAAAAUAUUGGGUCGGGGUAACACCAGAUCCUUGAAAUCG